UUUUAGGGGUCCCAGAAGAAGGAGAGAGAGAGAAAGGGUCCAAGAAAAUAUUUGAAGACGUAAUAGCUGAAAACCUUCAUAACCUGUGGAAGGAAACAGUCACUGAAGUCCAGGAAGCACAGAAUCCCAUACAGAAUUAACUCAAAGAGGAACACACUAAGACACAUUGUACUCAAAAUGCCAAAUAUUAAAGAUAAUGAGAGAAUACUAAAAUCAGCAAGGGAAAAGCAACAAGUAGCCUACAAGGGAACUCCCAUAAGGCUACCCGCUGAUUUUUCAGCAGAAAGUCUGCAGGCCAGAAAGGAGUGGCAUGAUAUAUUUAAAGUGCUGAAAGGG
Molecule: long non-coding RNA, 336 nt
Organism: Aethalodelphis obliquidens (Pacific white-sided dolphin)
Lineage: Eukaryota; Metazoa; Chordata; Mammalia; Artiodactyla; Delphinidae
Exons: 2
Source: RefSeq, a predicted model, not a curated record